RNAcentral lists this ribosomal RNA (484 nucleotides) under uncultured bacterium. Its description in RNAcentral is "partial 16S ribosomal RNA". It matches the Rfam family "Bacterial small subunit ribosomal RNA", at positions 30 to 507 of the family's 1533-position model. The record is from RNAcentral.
AUUGAACGCUGGCGGCAGGCCUAACACAUGCAAGUCGAGCGGAUGAAGGGAGCUUGCUCCUGGCUUCAGCGGCGGACGGGUGAGUAAUGCCUAGGAAUCUGCCUGGUAGUGGGGGAUAACGUCCGGAAACGGGCGCUAAUACCGCAUCCGUCCUGAGGGAGAAAGUGGGGGAUCUUCGGACCUCACGCUAUCAGAUGAGCCUAGGUCGGAUUAGCUAGUUGGUGGGGUAAAGGCCUACCAAGGCGACGAUCCGUAACUGGUCUGAGAGGAUGAUCAGUCACACUGGAACUGAGACACGGUCCAGACUCCUACGGGAGGCAGCAGUGGGGAAUAUUGGACAAUGGGCGAAAGCCUGAUCCAGCCAUGCCGCGUGUGUGAAGAAGGUCUUCGGAUUGUAAAGCACUGUAAGUUGGGAGGAAGGGCAGUAAGUUAAUACCUUGCUGUUUUGACGUUACCAACAGAAUAAGCACCGGCUAACUUCGUG